This 253-nucleotide ribosomal RNA is filed under the name uncultured bacterium. RNAcentral's name for it is "partial 16S ribosomal RNA". It matches the Rfam family "Bacterial small subunit ribosomal RNA", at positions 524 to 776 of the family's 1533-position model. The record is from RNAcentral.
UACGGAGGGAGCUAGCGUUGUUCGGAAUUACUGGGCGUAAAGCGCGCGUAGGCGGUUUCUCAAGUCAGAGGUGAAAGCCCGGGGCUCAACCCCGGAACUGCCUUUGAAACUAGGAGACUGGAAUCUUGGAGAGGUCAGUGGAAUUCCGAGUGUAGAGGUGAAAGUCGUAGAUAUUCGGAAGAACACCAGUGGCGAAGGCGACUGACUGGACAAGUAUUGACGCUGAGGUGCGAAAGCGUGGGGAGCAAACAGG